This 76-nucleotide transfer RNA is filed under the name Omnitrophica WOR_2 bacterium RIFCSPHIGHO2_02_FULL_50_17. RNAcentral describes it as "tRNA-Lys". It matches the Rfam family "tRNA". From Rfam's summary of the family: Transfer RNA (tRNA) molecules are approximately 80 nucleotides in length. Their secondary structure includes four short double-helical elements and three loops (D, anti-codon, and T loops). RNAcentral also lists the same sequence under 1 other name. Lineage: Bacteria; Pseudomonadati; Candidatus Omnitrophota. The record is from RNAcentral.
GACCCACUAGCUCAUCUGGUAGAGCACUGCCCUUUUAAGGCAGGUGUGCCGCGUUCGAGUCGCGGGUGGGUCACCA